This 1175-nucleotide ribosomal RNA is filed under the name uncultured bacterium. Its description in RNAcentral is "bacterial SSU rRNA". It matches the Rfam family "Bacterial small subunit ribosomal RNA", at positions 25 to 1165 of the family's 1533-position model. The record is from RNAcentral.
CAGGACGAACGCUGGCGGCGUGCCUAAUACAUGCAAGUCGAACGCACUGACGUCGACAGAAGGUGCUUGCACUGGAAGUUGAUUGACGUGAGUGGCGGACGGGUGAGUAACACGUGGGUAACCUGCCCUUAAGCGGGGGAUAACAUUUGGAAACAGAUGCUAAUACCGCAUAAAAGUUGAGAUCACAUGGUCUUAAUUUGAAAGACGGCCUUUGGCUGUCACUUAAGGAUGGACCCGCGGCGUAUUAGCUAGUUGGUGAGAUAAUAGCCCACCAAGGCGAUGAUACGUAGCCGACCUGAGAGGGUAAUCGGCCACAUUGGGACUGAGACACGGCCCAAACUCCUACGGGAGGCAGCAGUAGGGAAUCUUCCACAAUGGACGAAAGUCUGAUGGAGCAACGCCGCGUGAGUGAAGAAGGUUUUCGGAUCGUAAAACUCUGUUGUUGGAGAAGAACAGGGACUAGAGUAACUGUUAGUCCUUUGACGGUAUCCAACCAGAAAGCCACGGCUAACUACGUGCCAGCAGCCGCGGUAAUACGUAGGUGGCAAGCGUUGUCCGGAUUUAUUGGGCGUAAAGCGAGCGCAGGCGGUUUCUUAAGUCUGAUGUGAAAGCCUUCGGCUUAACCGAAGAAGUGCAUCAGAUACUGGGAAACUUGAGUGCAGAAGAGGAAAGUGGAACUCCAUGUGUAGCGGUGAAAUGCGUAGAUAUAUGGAAGAACACCAGUGGCGAAGGCGGCUUUCUGGUCUGUAACUGACGCUGAGGCUCGAAAGUAUGGGGAGCGAACAGGAUUAGAUACCCUGGUAGUCCAUACCGUAAACGAUGAAUGCUAAGUGUUGGAGGGUUUCCGCCCUUCAGUGCUGCAGCUAACGCAUUAAGCAUUCCGCCUGGGGAGUACGACCGCAAGGUUGAAACUCAAAGGAAUUGACGGGGGCCCGCACAAGCGGUGGAGCAUGUGGUUUAAUUCGAAGCUACGCGAAGAACCUUACCAGGUCUUGACAUCUAGCGCCAAUCCUAGAGAUAGGACGUUCCCUUCGGGGACGCUAAGACAGGUGGUGCAUGGUUGUCGUCAGCUCGUGUCGUGAGAUGUUGGGUUAAGUCCCGCAACGAGCGCAACCCUUAUGAUUAGUUGCCAGCAUUUAGUUGGGCACUCUAAUCAGACUGCCGGUGACAAACCG